GAUGAACGCUAGCUACAGGCUUAACACAUGCAAGUCGAGGGGUAACGAGAGGAAAGCUUGCUUUCCUUGUCGACGACCGGCGCACGGGUGAGUAACGCGUAUCCAACCUGCCCCCAACUAAGGAAUAACCUUGCGAAAGUAAGACUAAUACCUUAUAAUUUCCUCAGAUGUCAUCUGACGAGGAAUAAAGAUUUAUCGGUUGUGGAUGGGGAUGCGUCUGAUUAGCUUGUUGGCGGGGUAACGGCCCACCAAGGCAACUACCAGUAGGGGUUCUGAGAGGAAGGUCCCCCACAUUGGAACGGAGACACGGUCCAAACUCCUACGGGAGGCAGCAGUGAGGAAUAUUGGUCAAUGGGCGGAAGCCUGAACCAGCCAAGUAGCGUGCAGGAUGACGGCCCUAUGGGUUGUAAACUGCUUUUAUACAGGAAUAAAGUUAGCCACGUGUGGUUAUUUGUAGGUACUGUAUGAAUAAGGACCGGCUAAUUCCGUGCCAGCCGCCGCCGUAA
This 506-nucleotide ribosomal RNA is filed under the name uncultured bacterium. Its description in RNAcentral is "partial 16S ribosomal RNA". It matches the Rfam family "Bacterial small subunit ribosomal RNA", at positions 28 to 523 of the family's 1533-position model. The record is from RNAcentral.